AACGUAGGUACCGAGCGUUAUCCGGAUUUACUGGGCGUAAAGCGCGUUCAGGCGGUUUGGCAAGUCGGGCAUGAAAUCUCUCGGCUCAACCGGGAGAGGUUGUCCGAUACUGCUGGACUUGAGGGCAGUAGAGGGUGGUGGAAUUCCGGGUGUAGUGGUGAAAUGCGCAGAUAUCAGGAGGAACACCGAUUGCGAAGGCAGCUCGCUGGGACGUCACUGACGCUGAGACGCGAAAGCGUGGGGAGCAAACAGG
RNAcentral lists this ribosomal RNA (253 nucleotides) under uncultured bacterium. RNAcentral describes it as "partial 16S ribosomal RNA". It matches the Rfam family "Bacterial small subunit ribosomal RNA", at positions 524 to 776 of the family's 1533-position model. The record is from RNAcentral.